This 698-nucleotide long non-coding RNA is filed under the name Pongo abelii (Sumatran orangutan). Its description in RNAcentral is "lincRNA". The record is from RNAcentral. Lineage: Eukaryota; Metazoa; Chordata; Mammalia; Primates; Hominidae.
ACUGCUUCAUGGCAAGAGGUUACAUGCUGACAGCAUCUGGGGAAACCUCGCUGGGCCUCGGAGGUCCUUCCUAUGGGUGAUAUGCCACCCACCCUGGGUCGAGAGUCAGAGAAGGGCAGCCGGUCCCACUGCUGGCUUCGCCUGCCUGUUUCCCGCAGCUUCCCUCUAGUCAUCCACCUACACCUGCUGCCCAGUUCCCUAGAAACCUGCCUAGUGUAAAAGGAAGCAACUCUGGAGAACAGAAUCAGAAAUCAUAAAGCAAGGCCCUGUCCUCUGAGUUCUCUCCUGGAUGGGGACCAAGGAAGUUUUAUGUGGUCCAGAGAGGCUGCAUCAGUCUCAGGCCCCUAAGCCCUGCCUGGUUCAACAGUAUUAUUUCACUCACGCUGGUCAUCCCAUUGUUAGAAAGAGCAAGGAAAGAUGGAUGAGAAAGGAAGAGAGGGAGGGAGAAAAUUGUCCCCAAGAAAAGGAAACUAUUGUCCGGUAAGAUUCAGCCCACUUUUCUUGUUAAAUGAUGUGAAUUCAAAUUGUUGAUAUAUAUCACCAACAUGACAUGUGAAGCUAUUAUCUCAAAGCAUAUUAUAAAAUACCAUAUAUGAAAACAUUGACAAAUAUAAUGUAGAUGAUGAGUACCAGAUAUGAUUAUUGUUCUUUUCGUGUGUGAUUAAAGGUGACGGACAGAUGGUUUCCUCAACUUACAU